CUAGACACAGCCUCCUAUUGAGCUCACUUGAGUGGAGACACUCAAGAGAGCAGGAUGCUCUGCUGUUGUCUCCCGACUUGUCGAGGCUGUGGCUUCAGGAAAGCCAAGAAACAGAGCCUUUUCAGUUGCUACACACAUUGGCUUGGCCCUCACCUGCACCGCCUCUGGCCAUUUGGCAGGAGGAGCCCUCAGAGCUGCACGCAGGAGGUGGUGGAAGAGCUGGCGGAUGGCUUCGGGUACUCCAUCUCCCUGGACAGGGACCAGCUGCACCGCACCAUCAUCAAUAACCAGGGCUGCUCUGAGUGCUAUCUAUUUCCUGCUGGGAACCUGGCUGGGCCAAGGGCAGGAUUGCAGGGAGCCCCUGUGGUUUCCCUUUUGGACCCUGCAGCUGGCCACUCUGCACGUCAGCUUUGGUGGCUCCCACGUGGAGGGCCAUGCCUACGUUCUGCCAGGCCACCUGGAGCAUCU
This 468-nucleotide long non-coding RNA is filed under the name Equus asinus (donkey). Its description in RNAcentral is "lncRNA (ENSEASG00005037800.1)". The record is from RNAcentral. Lineage: Eukaryota; Metazoa; Chordata; Mammalia; Perissodactyla; Equidae.